AAGGGAUUGAAGCUGGAGGCUGAUCUUAGAGCUACCGAGCCACUGAGGAGUGAAGUCAUGGUGCUUCGUGCUGAAAUUCAGAAGUUUGGGUCCGUGAAGGAAGAGCUUGCUGGGCAGGUUAAGAAUCUUUCGCAUGAGCUGGCGAGGGCACAGGCGGAUAACAAGCAGGUGCCGGUUAUGAGGGCGGAGAUUGAGGGGAUGCGGCAGGAGAUUAUGCAUGCGAGGACUGCGCUUGAGUAUGAGAAGAAGGCGAAUGCUGAGCUGUUUGAGCAGAGACAAUCGGUGGAGAAGAACUUGAUUUCAAUGGCGAGGGAGAUUGAAAAGCUGCGUACCGAGGGAGCUAGGGGUGCUACUGGUGUUGGUGGACCGUAUGGUGGCAGUGCUGAGCGGACAUUUCCCGCUGCAUAUGGGGAUGGAUAUGGCCUUCAUUUGGGCAUUGCUGACAAGGCUCCUCUCUAUGGUGCGACAUCUGGAUCUUGGGGAGCAUAUGACAAGUCCCACAUAGCCCGUCGUUGAGACUCUGGGUUGAAUUAUUAUGGGAGAUGCAAAAUGAUUUUCCAGUGUCGGUCAGCUCACGAGGAUUAGAAGCUGUUAGCUUGAUUUGCUGAAUGUGUUCUAUCUGUUUUCUGUUAGCAGGGUACUAUUGGUCAUCAUAAACCAAACACCAUCAUUUCACUUGUGCUGUUAGUUUACCUUGGUUCAUUUUAGUGCUGCAAAGUAUGUUAAAUUUUAUGGAUGAUCUAUUGAAACUAAGUAGCUU
Molecule: unclassified non-coding RNA, 760 nt
Filed under: Hevea brasiliensis (rubber tree)
Lineage: Eukaryota; Viridiplantae; Streptophyta; Magnoliopsida; Malpighiales; Euphorbiaceae
Source: RNAcentral